AUACUAUGAUCUUGUAGCUGUCUUUCCCAGGGUGAGACUUAUCCAUUGCACUCCAGAUGUGCUAACCCCUGAGAUUUCCCCAAAUGUGGAAACUCAGCCGCAUCAUUUAUGGUAGUGGGAACUGCAUUUGUGCUCUCCCCGA
Molecule: small nuclear RNA, 142 nt
Filed under: Nannospalax galili (Upper Galilee mountains blind mole rat)
Lineage: Eukaryota; Metazoa; Chordata; Mammalia; Rodentia; Spalacidae
Description: U1 spliceosomal RNA (ENSNGAG00000002545.1)
Rfam family: U1 spliceosomal RNA
About the family: U1 is a small nuclear RNA (snRNA) component of the spliceosome (involved in pre-mRNA splicing). Its 5' end forms complementary base pairs with the 5' splice junction, thus defining the 5' donor site of an intron. There are significant differences in sequence and secondary structure between metazoan and yeast U1 snRNAs, the latter being much longer (568 nucleotides as compared to 164 nucleotides in human).
Source: RNAcentral